ACGAUAGAGGCGCGGUUUUCAUCAGUAUCGUCUGGAAGGGGCCGUAACCCCGUUUGAUCAGACGAGAAAGGGUCUGCCGCCGAAGCCUUCUCCUUGUUACGGCAGGGCGGGCUGGACGUCGAGGAAAACAUCCCUGCGUCUGUCAUCAGCAGCAAUGCCGGUGGAGAGCUAUCCU
This 175-nucleotide non-coding RNA is filed under the name uncultured Agathobaculum sp. Its description in RNAcentral is "Lysine riboswitch". It matches the Rfam family "Lysine riboswitch aptamer". From Rfam's summary of the family: Riboswitches are metabolite binding domains within certain messenger RNAs that serve as precision sensors for their corresponding targets. Allosteric rearrangement of mRNA structure is mediated by ligand binding, and this results in modulation of gene expression. This family includes riboswitches that sense lysine in a number of genes involved in lysine metabolism, including lysC. The record is from RNAcentral. Lineage: Bacteria; Bacillati; Bacillota; Clostridia; Eubacteriales; Butyricicoccaceae.